Molecule: ribosomal RNA, 266 nt
Filed under: uncultured bacterium
Lineage: Bacteria
Description: partial 16S ribosomal RNA
Rfam family: Bacterial small subunit ribosomal RNA
Source: RNAcentral
UACGAAGGGGGCUAGCGUUGCUCGGAAUCACUGGGCGUAAAGGGUGCGUAGGCGGGUCUUUAAGUCAGGGGUGAAAUCCUGGAGCUCAACUCCAGAACUGCCUUUGAUACUGAAGAUCUUGAGUUCGGGAGAGGUGAGUGGAACUGCGAGUGUAGAGGUGAAAUUCGUAGAUAUUCGCAAGAACACCAGUGGCGAAGGCGGCUCACUGGCCCGAUACUGACGCUGAGGCACGAAAGCUAGGGGAGCAAACGGGAGUUAGAAUAUCC